Molecule: ribosomal RNA, 546 nt
Filed under: uncultured bacterium
Lineage: Bacteria
Description: bacterial SSU rRNA
Rfam family: Bacterial small subunit ribosomal RNA
Source: RNAcentral
AAUAGAUACCCUGGUAGUCCACCCCGUAAACGUUGGGAACUAGUUGUGGGGACCAUUCCACGGUUUCCGUGACGCAGCUAACGCAUUAAGUUCCCCGCCUGGGGAGUACGGCCGCAAGGCUAAAACUCAAAGGAAUUGACGGGGACCCGCACAAGCGGCGGAGCAUGCGGAUUAAUUCGAUGCAACGCGAAGAACCUUACCAAGGCUUGACAUAUACGAGAACGGGCCAGAAAUGGUCAACUCUUUGGACACUCGUAAACAGGUGGUGCAUGGUUGUCGUCAGCUCGUGUCGUGAGAUGUUGGGUUAAGUCCCGCAACGAGCGCAACCCUCGUUCUAUGUUGCCAGCACGUAAUGGUGGGAACUCAUGGGAUACUGCCGGGGUCAACUCGGAGGAAGGUGGGGAUGACGUCAAAGUCAUCAUGCCCCUUAUGUCUUGGGCUUCACGCAUGCUACAAUGGCCGGUACAAAGGGCUGCAAUACCGUAAGGUGGAGCGAAUCCCAAAAAGCCGGUCCCAGUUCGGAUUGAGGUCUGCAACUCGACCUCA